GUCUCUCCUUCCUCGUUCCCCACCGCGCCGUCACACAGGAGAGCAGGCAUGGCCUCGGUCCCGACCCCGCGCCCGAUCCCCAUCACCUGCACCCCCGCCUUGUGCGUCGUCAGACUCACUGGCGGAGGACUCCAAUGGGCAAGGGCUGGCGGCCGCCAUACCUUGAAUCAUUGGUCGCGUACCUACGUGUGGUUCUGCCUAGCCGUGCAUGCGCUGCUCCAAGGAAGAUCGAUCAAGCUACCAAUCAAGCUGUUAGGUUGCUUGCUUCUUCUAGCUUUGAACGUACACGUACAUAUGUACAACUUCCGGUGGACUUGUUCUAGGGCUUUAGAAGCCAACGCUCAACUUCGCAUCCUUCACAGCCAGUAGAACGCAGUGCGGCGUAGCGUCGUCCCCAACUGAAAGUGAAGGGGAUAGCAAAGCCAAAGGGGAGGGGUAUAUCUCUAAAUUUCAGUAGCAUCUUUUAGUAGCUUGUAAUAUACAAUUGUAAUGAUUUUAGAUUUUUAUUCACAAUUUAGUGUUGUGAACUAUAUAUUUGAAAAAAAUAUUUCGAAGUACUUGGUAGUAGCAGACUAGCAGUAGCUCCAUUUCAUGCACCUAUGUGCUUCGACACAUGCCACUCAUCAAGGUCAAGUGAAUUUCACGGAAGAAGAGCAUGUAUAUUCUGUUGAGAAUCACAUGAAAAUAUAAAUGUGCGCGCAUUGUUAGUG
This is a long non-coding RNA of Triticum aestivum (bread wheat), 710 nucleotides long. RefSeq lists it as uncharacterized. NCBI's taxonomy places the organism in Eukaryota, Viridiplantae, Streptophyta, Magnoliopsida, Poales, Poaceae. The transcript is spliced from 2 exons. The record is from RefSeq and is a predicted model, not a curated record.